Molecule: long non-coding RNA, 547 nt
Filed under: Arachis ipaensis
Lineage: Eukaryota; Viridiplantae; Streptophyta; Magnoliopsida; Fabales; Fabaceae
Description: long non-coding RNA (AIPA_LNC000153)
Source: RNAcentral
UGAAACUCUUGAACAAGAGAGGCAAAGGCAGAAGCAAAUCGAAAAAAAGAGAAGAAGAAUGACAGAUCUGGAAGCUAACGACAUUAAAGACAAUGAUAGAUGCGAUAUAGAGCAGUAACAAUGGAGGAUUUGGGCGUCAACAAAGGUAGAUACAACAAGAAGUAGAAGAGGCAGAGGAAUAGGCCAAGAAGAAGAAGAAGAAUAAAAAAGAGAUUAGGAAAAUAGACAAAAAGAUGAAGAGGAGGAAGAGAAAAAUAUGUAGCUAUUCUGGAAGAGAAAUAGACCAUGAUGAAGAGAAAGAGAAAGAUGGAGGUGAAGAGAUGGAGGAGUUCAGAUUUACUGGGAAAGAUGAAGUGGAAGGAGAUGAAGUAGGAUGGAGGGUAAUGUUAGAAAUUUUAUAAAAUUAGUAAUAGUGAAAUUGUCUAAAAAAUGAUAUAAUUUGUGUCCACCUUUAAAAAUUCAAAGAUACAAAAUAUACGUAUUCUAUGUAUUCUUGUGUGUAACCGCGUUUCUCACUUUUUUGUGUCUUAUACAACAAACAUUGGAC